RNAcentral lists this non-coding RNA (311 nucleotides) under Porphyromonadaceae bacterium. The record is from RNAcentral. Lineage: Bacteria; Pseudomonadati; Bacteroidota; Bacteroidia; Bacteroidales; Porphyromonadaceae.
UAUCUUUGCACCCGCUUCGGUUUUAUGAAUGCCAGUAAUGCGUGCUCAUAAAUUAAAAGGGAAACAGGUGUAAAUCCUGUACAGUCCCGCUGCUGUAAGCUCUAUGUUAAUGGUUAAUUAGUAAUGGUUAAUUAGUAACAAAACGUAUUGAACAACACUUUUGCCACUGGUAUUAUCAGUGAACAGGAAACGGUGAACAGUAAACGGUCGUAAAAAACUGAUAACUGAAAACUUAAUACUGCUAACUGAAAUCGGGAAGGCGUUCAAUGACGGGAGUAAGUCAGAAGACCUGCCAAAGCAUAAUUUAUUUU